AGUUCGUAUCCGUCGGCGUACAGGACGAACGCUGGCGGCGCGCCUAACACAUGCAAGUCGACGGAGUCUGUUUUCUCUGAAGUUUUCGGAUGGAAGAGAGUUCAGCUUAGUGGCGAACGGGUGAGUAACACGUGAGCAACCUGCCUUUCAGUGGGGGACAACAUUUGGAAACGAAUGCUAAUACCGCAUAAGACCACAGUGUCGCAUGGCACAGGGGUCAAAGGAUUUAUCCGCUGAAAGAUGGGCUCGCGUCCGAUUAGCUAGAUGGUGAGGUAACGGCCCACCAUGGCGACGAUCGGUAGCCGGACUGAGAGGUUGAACGGCCACAUUGGGACUGAGACACGGCCCAGACUCCUACGGGAGGCAGCAGUGGGGAAUAUUGCACAAUGGGGGAAACCCUGAUGCAGCGACGCCGCGUGGAGGAAGAAGGUCUUCGGAUUGUAAACUCCUGUCCCAGGGGACGAUAAUGACGGUACCCUGGGAGGAAGCACCGGCUAACUACGUG
RNAcentral lists this ribosomal RNA (505 nucleotides) under uncultured Oscillospiraceae bacterium. RNAcentral describes it as "bacterial SSU rRNA". It matches the Rfam family "Bacterial small subunit ribosomal RNA", at positions 1 to 507 of the family's 1533-position model. The record is from RNAcentral. Lineage: Bacteria; Bacillati; Bacillota; Clostridia; Eubacteriales; Oscillospiraceae.